AGUGAACGCUGGCGGCAGGCCUAAUACAUGCAGGUCGAACGGCAGCACAGCAGAGCUUGCUCUGUGGGUGGCGAGUGGCGGACGGGUGAGGAAUACAUGGGAAUCUGCCCAGUCGUGGGGAUAACGUAGGGAAACUUACGCUAAUACCGCAUGCGCCCUUCGGGGGAAAGCCGGGGACCGUAAGGCCUGGCGCGAUUGGAUGAGCCCAUGUCGGAUUAGCUAGUUGGCGGGGUAAAGGCCCACCAAGGCGACGAUCCGUAGCUGGUCUGAGAGGAUGAUCAGCCACACUGGAACUGAGACACGGUCCAGACUCCUACGGGAGGCAGCAGUAGGGAAUAUUGGACAAUGGGCGCAAGCCUGAUCCAGCCAUGCCGCGUGAGUGAAGAAGGCCCUCGGGUUGUAAAGCUCUUUUGUCCGGAAAGAAAAGCGCCGGGUUAAUACCCUGGUGUCCUGACGGUACCGGAAGAAUAAGCACCGGCUAACUUCGUGCCAGCAGCCGCGGUAAU
RNAcentral lists this ribosomal RNA (506 nucleotides) under uncultured bacterium. RNAcentral describes it as "bacterial SSU rRNA". It matches the Rfam family "Bacterial small subunit ribosomal RNA", at positions 29 to 524 of the family's 1533-position model. The record is from RNAcentral.